AGUAAUGCAUAAACAACCUGCCCCUUAGACUGGGACAACUACGAGAAAUUGUAGCUAAUACCGGAUGGUCUUAUUUUUUCGCAUGAUUUAAUAAGUAAAUGGUCAGCCGCUAAGGGAAGGGUUUAUGUCAGAUUAGUUUGUUGGUGAGGUAAUGGCUCACCAAGACUACGAUCUGUAGCUGGUUCGAGAGGAUGAACAGCCACACUGGGACUGAGACACGGCCCAGACUCC
This 231-nucleotide ribosomal RNA is filed under the name uncultured bacterium. RNAcentral describes it as "partial 16S ribosomal RNA". It matches the Rfam family "Bacterial small subunit ribosomal RNA", at positions 109 to 339 of the family's 1533-position model. The record is from RNAcentral.